This 602-nucleotide ribosomal RNA is filed under the name uncultured bacterium. RNAcentral's name for it is "bacterial SSU rRNA". It matches the Rfam family "Bacterial small subunit ribosomal RNA", at positions 800 to 1397 of the family's 1533-position model. The record is from RNAcentral.
CCGUAAAACGCUUGUCUACUUGGAGGUUGAGGUUUAGAACUUUUGGCUUUCGGCGCUAACGCAUUUAAGUAGACCGCCUGGGGAGUACGGCCGCAAGGUUAAAACUCAAAUGAAUUGACGGGGGCCCGCACAAGCGGUGGAGCAUGUGGUUUAAUUCGAUGCAACGCGAAGAACCUUACCUACUCUUGACAUCCAGCGAAGCCUUUAGAGAUAGAGGCGUGCCUUCGGGAGCGCUGAGACAGGUGCUGCAUGGCUGUCGUCAGCUCGUGUUGUGAAAUGUUGGGUUAAGUCCCGCAACGAGCGCAACCCUUAUCCUUGUUUGCCAGCACGUAAUGGUGGGAACUCCAGGGAGACUGCCGGUGAUAAACCGGAGGAAGGUGGGGACGACGUCAAGUCAUCAUGGCCCUUACGAGUAGGGCUACACACGUGCUACAAUGGCAGAUACAGAGGGCAGCGAAGCUGCGAAGUGGAGCGAAUCCCUUAAAGUUUGUCGUAGUCCGGAUUGGAGUCUGCAACUCGACUCCAUGAAGUCGGAAUCGCUAGUAAUCGUGGAUCAGAAUGCCACGGUGAAUACGUUCCCGGGCCUUGUACACACCGCCCGU